Molecule: ribosomal RNA, 253 nt
Filed under: uncultured bacterium
Lineage: Bacteria
Description: partial 16S ribosomal RNA
Rfam family: Bacterial small subunit ribosomal RNA
Source: RNAcentral
UACGUAGGGUGCGAGCGUUGCCCGGAUUUAUUGGGCGUAAAGGGCGCGUAGGCGGCUCGGCACGUCCGUUGUGAAAUCGCCCGGCUCAACUGGGCGGGGUCAGCGGAUACGGUCGAGCUUGAGCAAGCUAGGGGGCAAUGGAAUUCCCGGUGUAGUGGUGGAAUGCGUAGAUAUCGGGAGGAACACCAGUGGCGAAGGCGGCCUGCUGGGACAUGGCUGACGCUGAGGCGCGACAGCGUGGGGAGCAAACAGG